UACGUAGGGUCCGAGCGUUGUCCGGAAUUAUUGGGCGUAAAGGGCUCGUAGGCGGUUUGUCGCGUCGGGAGUGAAAACACGGGGCUUAACCCCGUGCCUGCUUCCGAUACGGGCAGACUAGAGGUAUGCAGGGGAGAACGGAAUUCCUGGUGUAGCGGUGAAAUGCGCAGAUAUCAGGAGGAACACCGGUGGCGAAGGCGGUUCUCUGGGCAUUACCUUACGCUGAGGAGCGAAAGUGUGGGGAGCGAACAGG
RNAcentral lists this ribosomal RNA (253 nucleotides) under uncultured bacterium. RNAcentral's name for it is "partial 16S ribosomal RNA". It matches the Rfam family "Bacterial small subunit ribosomal RNA", at positions 524 to 776 of the family's 1533-position model. The record is from RNAcentral.